GUUAGCCAUCGUUUGUGGGGCUUGACUUACUUCCUCACUUUAACCGUUUUUACAUAAACCUCCAAGCCCUCUUUCUGCUCUCUUUCUGUCUUUGCAGAGCACAGUUAUUCCGCAUUAUCUGGUGACAGACAGACAAAAAAUGAAAGAAAAAAGAGAAAAAACAAAACGAUCAAAGCACAUCUGCUAGAAGCUAAAUUGAGAGACCCUCCCAAUCCAAAAUGAAUCAGUUAACGCUGGAAAAAUAUAUAAAUAAAUGUAUUUAAAGUCA
Molecule: long non-coding RNA, 268 nt
Filed under: Drosophila guanche
Lineage: Eukaryota; Metazoa; Arthropoda; Insecta; Diptera; Drosophilidae
Source: RNAcentral